Molecule: ribosomal RNA, 292 nt
Filed under: uncultured bacterium
Lineage: Bacteria
Description: partial 16S ribosomal RNA
Rfam family: Bacterial small subunit ribosomal RNA
Source: RNAcentral
GUGCCAGCAGCCGCGGUAAUACAGAGGGUGCAAGCGUUAAUCGGAAUUACUGGGCGUAAAGCGCGCGUAGGCGGUUGGGUAAGUCGAUUGUGAAAUCCCCGGGCUUAACCUGGGAAUUGCAGUCGAUACUGCUCGGCUAGAGUGUGGAAGAGGGAAGCGGAAUUUCCGGUGUAGCGGUGAAAUGCGUAGAUAUCGGAAGGAACACCAGUGGCGAAGGCGGCUUCCUGGUCCAACACUGACGCUGAGGCGCGAAAGCGUGGGUAGCGAACAGGAUUAGAUACCCGCGUAGUCC